UCCAAGCACUUCUGCCUCUGUCCGUAAAC
Molecule: non-coding RNA, 29 nt
Filed under: Rattus norvegicus (Norway rat)
Lineage: Eukaryota; Metazoa; Chordata; Mammalia; Rodentia; Muridae
Source: RNAcentral